AUCGAAGCCUCUCGCCAAUUUCCUAUAUUGAUAGGGGUAUUGUGCAGGGCGAAUGUUGGCCUCCCGUGAGCUUUAUUGCCUCAUGGUUGGUUGAAAAUCGAGACCUUGGUAGGGUGUGCCAUGAUAGGUGGUGGAUGUGUUACGCACGAGACCAAGUAAGUCAUGUGCUGCUCUAUUGAAUUUAGGCCUCUUUUACCCACAUGCGUUUCGAAACGCUCGUG
Molecule: unclassified non-coding RNA, 221 nt
Filed under: Trifolium ambiguum
Lineage: Eukaryota; Viridiplantae; Streptophyta; Magnoliopsida; Fabales; Fabaceae
Description: partial internal transcribed spacer 2
Source: RNAcentral